Long non-coding RNA from Brassica napus (rape), 8567 nucleotides. RefSeq lists it as uncharacterized. Lineage: Eukaryota; Viridiplantae; Streptophyta; Magnoliopsida; Brassicales; Brassicaceae. The transcript is spliced from 4 exons. The record is from RefSeq and is a predicted model, not a curated record.
UCUGUUAUUGACUUUUGAUUUCUUUCAAUCUCUCUAAAGUUUUUUAUAUACUCUGAAUGCUUAUGUUUUGAUUAUCAUAAUUCUACUUCUUAAGGCUUAUAACUCUGUUUGUUUAGGUGUUUAGAAAUAUAGCUUUGUGACAAACAGGUCAAUCAAUACCGAAUUUGAAAAUCAUUUUUUAACGAACUAUUGUUUUUUUUUUUGAAAAAUGUCUGUAAUGAAAGCAACAUUUUAGGAAAAAAAGGAGGUUUUCAAGUUCAUAUUUUAUUUUGGAUAAAAACGUGUUCUCCAAUCUACGUAAUUACUACACUUUCCAUAAAAUUGUUGAAGGCAUAAAUUUAGUACCGUUUAUGGAAAAGGAAUCAAUCAAGUAAUCAAGCAAUACCUAAACCAUAUCAAACACGAUUUUUUUAAUCGAGAAUAUAUCUUCCCAUUUUUUAAUCAGCCAAAUAAUUCGAUUUUACCUAAAUCACAUCAAACGCGAUUAUUUCUUCCGUAUCUCUCCCCUUUGGCUGCUGCCCGGUAAACCAAGCUUUCUUUCUCCGUUUUGAAGCAUCCCCUAAAGCUGCUGCAACCAAGCUUCCUAUUUCCCAUCUUUAGUCAACGCUAGACUCAACGUACUGUGGAAGGUAAGACUUUUUAAAUCGACCAAGAAUAUACAAAUCUUAAUCCAUCAAUCUAACUGCUAAUCAGUUUCAUUAUAAGGUUAGAAAUAUAUAAGGAAUGGAGCAGCCACAUCUUCCACCCCCUUCGCAAACUGCAGGUAAACAUAUCUAUAAUCAUCCUAAAAAUCGCCUUAUAGGAAUGGUCGUCGGUAUAUGCAUAUGUCGCUAGAUAUAUUAAUUGUAUUUCUUAGGCCAUAAACCAAGAUAUACAUACAUAUUGAGACAAAAGGUUAAUCAAAUGUUUAACGUAACUUUAAAAUAAAAAUUUAUAUAAUAUAAACUUUAAUAUUUAUAGGAUAGUGAUGCAACGGUUCGUGCAUGCAGUUAAUAAUUAACAAAGCUUUAGAGAUGCAAAGUCGAGUGUGACUUCUUAGAAUAUAUUAGUUAGUGCGCUACCUGUUUAAAAUGAAACAUGUGUUCUAUAAAUAUUACAAAAUGAUCAAAUAUUCGAUUUGAUGUGCUAAUAUUGUAUAAAAUAAUGUCUCCAGAAUUUUUAGAUUUAUAAUGAUCUACUUUUUUGGAUAGGAUCAAUACUGAUUUUUUAAAAGACUAAAUAACACCAUGUCAUUCUUAUAAUUAUUUACGUUCUUUAUUACGUUCGAAUUAUUUCUUAUGAGUAUAAAGAACAAUUCUAUAGCCAAUGAUAUUUAAUGGCUAUAUAAAUUAUGUUUCAUAAAAAAAUCAGUGCAUUGUAUGCUAAGUGCCUUUGUUUAGACAGACAAUCUUUAAUUGUUAGACAACUAUAGCCAUAUACUUAACUAUCACGAACGUUAGUUUCAAUUUUUCACAACUAAUAUAUGUAUAUAUAUUAGUUUCUAAGUCUUCACAGCAAUAUGUCUCGAGUUUUUUUUAACUGGAAAUUUGCGGAACUGAAAAUUAUAUAUGUAUUUAACUUAGAUCAGAAAUAAUAUAUAUAUAUAUAUAUGGUAUUUGUUAAUUUAUUCAUUCAGGAUCUUUUUUGAAUAUUGUUGUCUUACCGUUUAUUCAAUAAUUUUUAUACAUUGUUUUUUAUUCGUAAAUUUUCCAUUUUAUAUAGUUUAUUGCUAAUCUAAAACAUAUAUUAACUAUUCAUAGUUUGCUUAUAAAUCUCAGUUAAAAUUUAAGCUGAAAGAAAAUAAACUAACCAUCACAAGAAACUUAUAAAAUUAACAUUCAGGAAUAAAUGCUCAUUCACACCAACGUUUAAAGACAAAAAAUUAUAUAUUUAAACCCACCCUAUUAACCACAUUUCGACAAAGACUUCACCCCACACAAUUACCUCAACAAUGAGUGACAUACCACUUAUAUCUCAUAGAAUCUCGCAUCAAAGAAGAUCUACAGGUGGAAACCCUGAAACAAACCCAACCACGAGAUGUGUAUUGUUUGCUUCGGAAAUUACAACCAACACAUCAAUCUUUGUACUAUUACAUGCGGCCACAGUUUCCAUUUCCCUUGCAUUGAUCAGUGGCUUUGCAGAAACAUAAGUUAUCCUAUUUGCAGAGAAAGCAAUCUUUGAUGCCAAACUUUCCGAAAAAUAAAAAAAAGUCAAUUGAAUUCUGAAUUCUAAUAUCCUUUUGGUCUUCAUUUUAUUAUGCCAUUUUGUAUAAAAGUUAUUAUAUUUGAAAUCCCAUGUUAUUAUACACAGUUAAUAUUUUUAACAUAAAACUCAAUAUUCUAAUUUAAAUUUUUAAAAUAACAGAAAAACUAAUUUCUGUCUGAGCUCGAGACCAAAUCCGUACAAUAAUGUUUCUAUAUUUUCGGUUAUUAAAAAAUAACAUAAACAGUAACAUAAAUAUAAAAAAUAAAAAACAUUUUCGUAACAAUAUUUAACUACCUAUCAGUAUCUUAUUACAAUUUUUAAAUCGUAUAUCUUUUAGUGACAUCUUCCAUGCAACACAUUCCUCAAAGAAUCCACCAACUUCAAGAAGGGAUUUCAAUUCGUCCUAUCAUCGUAUGUAUAAGAAAUGUUUGGGACAUCAAAAAACACCAAACCGAUAGUACUCGAACUUCCAUCGGCUUCAUGUGCUACGACCACAACGUAAGCCUUUUCUAAACUUCUAUAUAUAUAUAUAUAUAUAUACAAAUAUCUAUAUAUUUCCCAAUCCACCAUAUUUGAUUAAAACUACUCACUGCUUCCUUAAUUGGUUCGGCCCUACAAAAUAUUUUUCACACCCAGGGACAACUAUUAGAAGGUCGGGUCACCGGAGACAUUCAGCCGAAUGAUUCAAAAAACUUAACUGAAGGAGAUAGUUAUGAGUUUUCGAGAUUUUAUGUCAUACAUAAUUCCCGACAACGGAAGCUCACCCAACUGCCGUACUAUAUUCAGAUCGGCCAAAGGACAACAGCAUUGAAUGUUACACUUGAUGGUCCGAUGUUCCCAGUUCACAGUUUGUCACCUCAGAGAUACACAAAUCUAUUGCGGUUAGCCAGUACACCCACAUACUUACCAGACGUCGUGGGACAGAUAGUCAUAAUACAAAAAAUAAAACUUAACCACCCAGAACUCAAUAUUGAUGCUACGAUUGGCCUACGACUGAACAGGUCAACGAUUGUUAAACUCAUAUUGUGCGACCAGCAAGCAGCAGAUUUUAGCAUCCUACAAAGCAAGAAGAAUAGAAAAUUUAAAGUUAUGAUCAUCACAAGCGUAAUUCCUAAACUAAUCCAAGGCAAACUUAUACUCCAUUCAUCACCAGCAACAGUUUUCUACUUCAACAAAUCAAUUGAUUACAUAAAGCAUUUCAAAAGGCGAAUUAGAGAUUAUGCAAAAACAUGCAGCACAGAGUGAUCUUCCUUCAUUCAUAAUCCGGAUUAUUAUUCUCUCUCUCAAAGAACUUGAUACCUAGAUUUGUUUUCAUUAAACUUUAUUUUAUGAUUGCUUUCCUUUAUUUUCGUGAACUUAUCCAAGAUGAGAUUUUGAUCUUUUUAAAUAAAAUAAUCUAAAUUCUAAAACUAAAACAAAUAUUUUUUACAAUAAUUAGUUAAUUUAUGCUAAAGAUGAUAAAUAAACCAAAAUUAAAUACAUAUCCGUGCUCAGCCAUGCAAGUUAGUGAGCAGUAAGGCAUGAUCAGAGUGAAUAAGAAGUCCACUAUAAAUAUGUGGUCGUUUGGAGAUAAAAUUGUGGAAUAAAUAUGUCGACGUGGACAGGCUAAAAACACUCUAUUUGUUACUUUUAGUAUAGAGUAGAUUUAUAAUUAUAUUUUUAAAUACAACAUAAAUUCAGGACUUACAGCAAUACACAAACAAAUAUAGAUAAACACAUUAAAUUCAGGGGGAAAAAAAUCUUCAUAAAACUUAAAUUUCCCAUUAUUAUACAAAUAUGGGAAAGCUUUUUUUUUUUUUUUGGUAUGAAAGCUUCAAAGAGAGAAAAUAUAACUGUACUAUUUUUUAUUCCAGUCUCUACUUUUUACAAAAAUCAUCUUCCUCCCAUAUUAAGCAGUUACAAAAGCAUUAUAUAAUUAAGAUUUGGUAAAGAUAUUAUACUAAAAACUUUUCUUAGUUCACAAAUAGAAUUCACUCACCCUGACCUGGCCACGAUUUCCUCAGUCAGGCGAGUGCACAUAGAUCAAGUCAACAAAAACAAACAAGUCAAAAAUAUUAACAUCCAUCCAUAAAUGCUAUUAUAGGUUUUAAAGACCUCUAAUUUAUGUAAUAUUACAAAACUCCAAAUUCUUUUAAUACAAUUAAAGUUUGACCAUUACAUAUAUUAUAAUAAUAUUCUAGCACGAUAUUCAACUGUAACUUUUCAACUAUUACACGUUAAAAAAUAUUAUUAAGUAUGCUUCGUUUUUUGAAAAUGGGGUGUUUAUAUUUUAAAUAGGUUAUUGGAGUACUUUUUCUUUUGCUGAACUUAUUCGAGAUAAGAAGCUAUUUAAAUUAAACUUUGUUGUUUUCAAUAUCUAAAAUAAAAUAGAAUUAUCAUAAACUAAUUAAUUCUUAGUUAUAAUCCAAUUCCUCAUCUUUACUCAUUUGAGUUCAUUUUUUAAAAUUUGUUUUGUAAAAAAACAAUUCAAGUUCUGAGUAUAUGAAAAUUUUAGAUUCUUAAUGAUCUAAAUUUUGGUUAGGAUCAAUACUGAGUUUCUAUUCUUAUUUGUAUGUUUAUAAAUUGUAUUAGCCUUUGCUUUUCAUUAUAUGAUUAUUCAAAAAUUUAUAUGGGUUUAUUUAUAUAUAAUCUAUUAAAAAAGAAGUCAUGAUACCUUUAUGUCUGAUUUUUUUUAUUUGAAAGAUUCUGAAAUUAUGUAUGGAAUUUUACAUAAGUUAGUUAUAACAUAUUUAUUUUUGUUUAACAUAUUAAUAAAUAUCCUACGAACAAUGUUCAACCACAUCUUUCAAAUAUGUUUUUAAAUGUUAUCAAGUUGUAUUUUCGAAAUUUUUUUUACAACUGUCCAAGUUGAAACAUCUUUCUUUAAUAAUUAUAAUUCAUAACCCAUAACUUCCUAAGACCAGGAAAAGUUUUAUAAUAUGUAACUUAUUUUCUAUUCAACCUAUAUUAAUGUUAUAUUAAAAAACUUACAUACUUUCAACUAUUUAACCCCAUGCAUCAUGUAUCUAUUUUACAACUCAUCCAAAAAUCUAGACAACUCCACUAAAAUCUAAACAUGAGUCUAAUUUCUUGGAUUGUACGCCACAAAACUUCACAAAGUCUGACAUCUCCAAAAAGAAGCAUCACCAUGAAUAUAAAGAGACGAAAUACACAACAAACGAAGAUCGUGAUCUCUAUUGACAUGAAGACAACAAGUAGUGGUUAUCUAACACACGAAACAGCAAGCAAUAUGGAGUUUAUGCUUGGUUACCACGAGAUCGAUUUUGACACGAUUACUGAGAUAAUCGAGGAGGCUUCCGCCGUUGCCGCACGCAAUAUCCCAACACUCAAUAAUCCCACCAAUAUUGAUUUUGAUAUAAUUGUUAAAAUAAAUGAUCUUAAUCCAGACGCUAUCCGCAGAAUUGACCUGGAUGUUUAUCUCAUCGAGCUACGGGAUAAUCGAAGGGAUACAAUUCCUAGCGAAAGAAAUGACAUAUGUCCAAUCUGUUGGGAAGAGUUUGGCACCGAACUGGAUAUCAACUCCUUGAGUUGUUAUCAUACCUAUCAUCAUCACUGCAUCUCGAACUGGGUUGAAAAAACUUUAACUUGCCCAUAUUGUAGAGCAGUACUUGCUUAAUACACAAUAAAUCCAUUAUCUUAUCUAAUAAUUGUUUCCCCUGUUUUAAAUUUUUAAUUGAAAAAGAAAUAAUAAUAAUUAUAAUUGAAUUGCAUCCGUAAAGAAUUAUUAUUAUUAUUAUGUAUAAAUAAAGACGUGUCGGGUUUUAAUUAGGAAAGUGGGUUUUAAAGUGAUACUAUGAUUCAUAUUUAUAGAAAAUUAAGACAGCCCCAUAUAUAUUAUUUUAUUUCGAAAUCUUUUUUAAAAAACAUGCUGUUAAUAUCUCUAUUAUAGCUGGAAAGAUUAACAUCCCAAAUCAAAUUAUUACUAAUACUACAAAUACAACAGUUAUUAUAAACCAAAGAUAGUAUUUAAAAUAUACUAACAUCACCAAAACAGUAUUACGUUAUUAUAAAGAUCAAAUCAACCUUCACAAAUAAGUCAAAAAAAUUAACAUCCAUCUAUAAAUGCUCAUUAAAACCAACAUUAAAAGAAUUAUAUGCUCACUAAAUUAAAUAACCUCAAUUAUCUUUCCAAGUAUUAUUAAAUUAUAAAGAUUUUUAAACAAAAAAAUAUAGAUAAACUUAGUGUAUUAUGGUAGUUAGUUUUCUCAUUUCCUAACAGAUUAUUUUGGCAAACCCAAAAUUACGAUCGUUAUUAAAUCCAAAGAGAUUUCUUUGAUAAUUUUAUGUUCUCAAAUUAUUAUAAGAGGAUGGAUAGAUCCAAAGAGAGAAAAUACAACUAUCCAAUUUUUUGAUUCCAAAACAAAAACUUAGAUACAUUGUCUUAAAAACUUCCCCUAACAUAUAAAUUCCAGCGAAACUGAAACACUUUAAAUAAAAAACUCAUAAAAUUAACAUUCAGUAAUAAAUGCUCAUUCACACCAACGUUAAAAGACAAAAAAAUCAUAUAUUUAAACUCACUUUAUUUCCCACAUUUCGACAAAGACUUCACCCCACACAAACACCUCAACAAUGAGUGACAUACCACUUAUAUCUCAGCGAAUCUCACAUCAAAAAAGAUCUACAGGUGGAACCCCGAAGCAAACCUUCCAAGUUUAUUCGAAUAAAAAAUAUUAUAUUUGAAAUCACAUGUUAUUACACACUUAAUGUUUUUAAACAUAAAAUUCAAUAUUCUGUUUAAAAUUUUUAAAUAACAGACACAUUAAUUUAUUUUUGAACUCGAAACCAAAUCCAUACAACAAUGUUUCUAUAUUUUCUGUAUUUAUAAUAUAUCAUUAACCACAUUUUGACAUUUUGGGAAAAAAAGCGCUGUCUAGAUGUGAUUGAGCAAGAAAAAGGAAUAAUGAAAGAUGAAAUUUCACAUAAAAAUAAGACAUCAUAUUUGGAUAUAUUUAAAAAAUACUUACAAAUAUAUUAUAUUCUUGAUAAUUUUAAAAUUAAUUAAACAGAGGCUAAAUUAUUAAAAAUUAAAAUACAAAUAAAACAAAAUCAAUAUUUUGUAACAUCAAAAUAAUAAUUGGAUAAAAAAUAUAUUAUGAUAAUAAGUAGAUUAAAGAUUUUGAAGAUUUCUAAUUUAUGUAAUAUUACAAAACUCCAAAUUUGCUUAUUACAAUUAAUAUUCUACUAUUAGAUAGAUUAAAUUAAUGUUCUAGAACGUUAUUCAACUGUCAGUUCUCAACUAUUACACGUAAAAAAAAUAGAAUUUAUAAUUAGAAAAAAUUAAGACCCACCUAUAUAUUAUUUUAGUUCGGAAUAUUUUUAAAAUACUUGCUAUUAUGAUUUCUAUUAUAGCUGGAAAGAUUAACUUCGCAAAUCAAUUUAUUUUAAAUACUACAAAUACAACAGUUAUUGUAAACCAAAAAUAAAAAUAAAAAUAUAUGAACAUCACCAUCACUUUUAAGCCCAUUUCCAAAAUCUAUUUAUUUUGGGAACCAUAUAACCAUUUCCUAGCUAUUUAUUCUACCCAUUACUAUUGUUAUUAGUUUAUUUAGAUCAUAGUUACAUUGAGAGUAGAACAAAAGAAUAUAGAAGUACAUAAAUUAAUACGUAUAAAUAAAAACGUGUAUCACGUAAAGAUAUCAAAUUAGAUUAGUACUAUACACGAAACAGUGUAUUAUGUUUUCAUUAUGAAAUUGGAUUAAUACUCUAUUUAAAUGGAUACUAAUAAUUUAAAAUUGGAAAAACCUAAUGACCCACAAUUAUUUUAUUAUAAUUAGAACAUUUCAAAAUUCUGUCUAGAUAUUUAAUUACCUUCUACUUUGAAUUUAAUCAUAACUAUAAUACAUUACUUAAUAUAACGAAGAAAAUAACAUUAUCAAAACUACAGGAGGAUCCACGCAAAAGAGGAAGCGAGGCCGACCACGUGGAUCACUUAAUAAACCAAAAGGUAUAUAUUUACUACCCAAAAUAGCUAAUCCUAAGAGAAAUUGUCUUAUCCCAAUUAUUAAACUGUGUACAUUUUCAGUUCAUCUGGUAAAUGACCGACCAUCAUUCAAACCAACAUAUUACGACUGUAAGUAUAUAUGGAUCAUAUUAUUAUAUCUUAAACCAAACUUAUUCAUCAAACAAACUAACUUCCCAGACUUAUUUUAACAGGUGGCUGUGAUAACUGCGACUCUUACAGUAAGAAAUAAUCCUAAACUGUGUAUCUAUCAUGCUAUAUUCUUUUAACCUAACCACUGUUAAUCUUAAUAGUCAAGCAGAAAAAUGCACGUAAUAUGAGAAAGGCCAUUUUGCUAUCCAAACGAACGUCGGCAUCGUCACGGGGUACGCAUAAUGGCUGAUAAAAUCUAUUUCGAUUUAUUACAUUUCUGAUUUAAAUUUAC